Hyla sarda is the source of this 1084-nucleotide non-coding RNA. The record is from the annotation of a RefSeq genome assembly. NCBI's taxonomy places the organism in Eukaryota, Metazoa, Chordata, Amphibia, Anura, Hylidae.
UAGACUUGAGCUUUUAUCUUGGGGAGCCCUAUAGUGUAAAAAUUCUAUAUAGACCGUAUCAUGCCGUAGUCAUCAAUAUAGUUAAGUUUGUAUAUGCAAUAUACACACAAGUCUAUAGGUACAGUAGAGUGUAAGUUCUAAGUGCUUGUACAGUAAGCAUUUAAUUCAAGCAACAGAAAUCGGGGACAUUGUCCUUCUGCUUUAACACAAAUUAUAUGUAAAUUUAUUCAAAUACUUUAUUACUUAUAGUUAAGUCGCAAUCACCAUUGUGUGGAACUAGUACCAUAAGAUCUUCUUGUUCUUCUUAACUUCUGACAAAAAGACAUGAUGAACCUCCUGUGGUUAUUUGGAGUUUUGGCCAUACUAAAAUGUAUCACUGCACAGAUCUCACUCGUAGAGUCUGGUCCUGGGAUUGUGAGACCAUCAGAGACUCUGGAACUGACCUGUAAAGUGACUGGAGCCUCCCUGACUGACAGCAGUAACAUAUAUGCAGUUCCAUGGAUUCGAUCAUCCACAGGGAAAGGUCUGAAGUGGCUGGGGGUUAUUUGGUAUAAUGGUAACACAAAUUAUGCGGAGUCUCUUCAGGGACGUUUAACUGUAACAAGAGACACAAAUAAAGGAGAAGUCUAUUUUAAACUCACUGGAGUGAAACCUGAAGAAUCUGGGAAAUAUUAUUGUGUAAGAUACUCACAGUGUAACCGAUGAACUGAUGAAGUGAACACAAACUGAUCACAGUUUUAGUGCAUGAAUGACAGUGUCAUUUUCAUUGUUAUAUUACAAAAAAAUCAUAGUAAACAUCUUAAGGUGUAAAAAAAAUGUUCUCCUUGGUUGGAGGGGACCAAUUGCUUAUCAGCAGAACUCACAUCUUUAGUGCUAGAGAAAUAGCACUGGAUUGGCAGGCACCAGAUGGAGGAGGUACACUGGCUCAGCUUGCAUAUCUCUGUUCCUAUAGACGGACUGAGCCUAACAACAGGCAGUGAACUGCAAAUUCAGUAGAAGGGAGACCCCUAGUGGCUCGAACUUUAAACAAUUUUAGGGGAUAAGAAAGCAAAACUUUUAAACACAUAAAAGCAAAAAGAUUUAC